CUAAGAAUAUUCCGCAAUGGGGGGAACCCUGACGGAGCGACGCCGCGUGGGCGAGGAAGGCCGGAAGGUUGUAAAGCCCUUUUGCGCGCGAGGAAUAAGGGGAGGAGGGAAUGCCUUCCCGGUGACUGUAGCGCGCGAAUAAGCGCCGGCUAAUUACGUGCCAGCAGCCGCGGUAACACGUAAGGCGCGAGCGUUGUUCGGAAUCAUUGGGCGUAAAGGGCGUGUAGGCGGCCCUGCAAGCCUGGCGUGAAAUCCCGGGGCCCAACCCCGGAACCGCGCUGGGAACUGCUGGGCUUGAGCCGCUGUGGCGCAGCCGGAAUUCCAGGUGUAGGGGUGAAAUCUGUAGAUAUCUGGAAGAACACCGAUGGCGAAGGCAGGCUGCGAGCGGACGGCUGACGCUGAGGCGCGAAGGCGCGGGGAGCGAACAGG
RNAcentral lists this ribosomal RNA (429 nucleotides) under uncultured bacterium. RNAcentral describes it as "bacterial SSU rRNA". It matches the Rfam family "Bacterial small subunit ribosomal RNA", at positions 355 to 776 of the family's 1533-position model. RNAcentral also lists the same sequence under 1 other name. The record is from RNAcentral.